UAGGGAAUCUUGCGCAAUGGGCGAAAGCCUGACGCAGCCAUGCCGCGUGAAUGAUGAAGGUCUUAGGAUUGUAAAAUUCUUUCACCGGGGAAGAUAAUGACGGUACCCAGAGAAGAAGCCCCGGCUAACUUCGUGCCAGCAGCCGCGGUAAUACGAAGGGGGCUAGCGUUGCUCGGAAUUACUGGGCGUAAAGGGCGCGUAGGCGGAUAUUUAAGUUGGGGGUGAAAGCCCGGGGCUCAACCUCGGAAUAGCCUUCAAUACUGGAUAUCUUGAGUUCGGGAGAGGUGAGUGGAAUGCCGAGUGUAGAGGUGAAAUUCGUAGAUAUUCGGCGGAACACCAGUGGCGAAGGCGACUCACUGGCCCGAUACUGACGCUGAGGCGCGAAAGCGUGGGGAGCAAACAGGAUUAGAUACCCUGGUAGUCCACGCCGUAAACGAUGAGUGCUAGUUGUCGGCAUGCAUGCAUGUCGGUGACGCAGCUAACGCAUUAAGCACUCCGCCUGGGGAGUCGGUCGCAAGAUUAAAACUCAAAUGAAUUGAC
Molecule: ribosomal RNA, 540 nt
Filed under: uncultured bacterium
Lineage: Bacteria
Description: partial 16S ribosomal RNA
Rfam family: Bacterial small subunit ribosomal RNA
Source: RNAcentral